GACGAACGCUGGCGGCGUGCUUAACACAUGCAAGUCGAACGGAAAGGCCCUGCUUUUGUGGGGUGCUCGAGUGGCGAACGGGUGAGUAACACGUGAGUAACCUGCCCUUGACUUUGGGAUAACUUCAGGAAACUGGGGCUAAUACCGGAUAGGAGCUCCUGCUGCACGGUGGGGGUUGGAAAGUUUCGGCGGUUGGGGAUGGACUCGCGGCUUAUCAGCUUGUUGGUGGGGUAGUGGCUUACAAAGGCUUUGACGGGUAGCCGGCCUGAGAGGGUGAACGGCCACAUUGGGACUGAGAUACGGCCCAGACUCCUACGGGAGGCAGCAGUGGGGAAUAUUGCACAAUGGGCGGAAGCCUGAUGCAGCAACGCCGCGUGCGGGAUGACGGCCUUCGGGUUGUAAACCGCUUUCGCCUGUGACGAAGCGUGAGUGACGGUAAUGGGUAAAGAAGCACCGGCUAACUACGUG
Molecule: ribosomal RNA, 468 nt
Filed under: uncultured bacterium
Lineage: Bacteria
Description: partial 16S ribosomal RNA
Rfam family: Bacterial small subunit ribosomal RNA
Source: RNAcentral